RNAcentral lists this ribosomal RNA (497 nucleotides) under uncultured bacterium. RNAcentral describes it as "partial 16S ribosomal RNA". It matches the Rfam family "Bacterial small subunit ribosomal RNA", at positions 28 to 506 of the family's 1533-position model. The record is from RNAcentral.
GACGAACGCUGGCGGCAUGCCUAAUACAUGCAAGUUGAACGAUGAUAUUCUCUGCUUGCAGAGAAUUGAAGAGUAGCGAACGGGUGAGUAACACGUGGGGAACCUGCCCAUGAGAGGGGGAUAACAUUCGGAAACGGAUGCUAAUACCGCAUAAUGCUUUGGACCGCCUGGUCCAGAGACGAAAGACGGCUUUUGCUGUCACUCAUGGAUGGCCCCGCGCCGUAUUAGCUAGUUGGUGAGGUAAUGGCUCACCAAAGCUGUGAUACGUAGCCGACCUGAGAGGGUGAUCGGCCACACUGGGACUGAGACACGGCCCAGACUCCUACGGGAGGCAGCAGUAGGGAAUCUUCCACAAUGGGCGAAAGCCUGAUGGAGCAAUGCCGCGUGAAUGAAGAAGGUCUUCGGAUCGUAAAGUUCUGUUAUUAGAGAAGAACAAGUCAAGGAGUAACUGUCUUGACUUUGACGGUACCUAACCAGAAAGUCACGGCUAACUACGU